AGGGUUGUGGCUCAGUGGCAGAGCACUUGCCUGACAUGGGUGAGGCACUGGGUUCAAUUCUCAGCAACACAU
Ictidomys tridecemlineatus (thirteen-lined ground squirrel) is the source of this 72-nucleotide non-coding RNA. The record is from Rfam. NCBI's taxonomy places the organism in Eukaryota, Metazoa, Chordata, Mammalia, Rodentia, Sciuridae.